This is a long non-coding RNA of Rhinopithecus bieti (black snub-nosed monkey), 2647 nucleotides long. The record is from Ensembl. NCBI's taxonomy places the organism in Eukaryota, Metazoa, Chordata, Mammalia, Primates, Cercopithecidae.
UUGGAAUCCUAAUCCCUUCAGGAAGGAAGUUUUUCCCUGGAUGCCACACCAAACCUAAAUGGCAGAAACAGUUCCUGGGAUUAGGUGCAGGUUGUAAUGUAACGGGAAAGAACCCUGGAAAAGUGACCUGUGUUUCGAUGUGAAAAUUUAAAGGCUUCAGGCAAGAUGCUUUGGUGAUUUGGCCUCGGUCUCCUCAACACAGAAUGAAAGGGAUGAACCGAACAAGGCCUUUUAAGCUCGAGAGGGUCUGAGGAGAGAACACGCUAUCUGUAAGUUUCACGUCGCCUGAAACUUAGAGGAGACACCUGUGCCACCGCACAAACGUUGCUAGGGAAAUAGCAGACGGAAUGCUUCCGAGUAGCCAGUCGGUGUGCACGCUCCCCCGCCCCACCACCAGAGGGCGGUGUGACUGGCAAAUGAAGUGCAGAAGACGCAUCUGCCGUGGAGGUUGCCGGGGACAGCGGCUGAUGAGGCCUUCUCAUGGGACAGGACACAGACGCCAUUUAAGAAGCUUGAGAUCCACGUGGACUGGGGCCAACGCUGUUGAGGUGGUUCUGUGCAGAGUCAUCUGGAAGGAGAGACUCUGUGGCCCACGGGGACCUGCUUCACCAAUGCUGCAAUAGUCUAACCUAGAACUACGAGAUCUUUGGCUACCAUGAUUCCUCCUUCAUUGCCAAUCUGACCACCCACCUCCCCUGGAUAAAACGGGAUUAAAGAAACUUUGAAGAAACGAGAUUCGGCUGCAGAACAGCAGCUGUCAGACCCUCUGUCCUCUCUUGAGUGCUCUGAGCGGUUCGUGGACCCCACUUCCCCGGCAGCAGAUGGUGGAGAGAAAUCAGUGAGGUUUUUGGGAGGCACAAUUCUGCCUCGGUGCGUUUACUCCUCUUCUUCAUUUUCCUUUUCCUUUCCUCUCUUGCCCUCACUUCCAUAAACUCACAGUACAAUAUCUUUUCUUUACAUUUGUAUAGUUCUUUAAUAUUUGAAACAUAAUUUCACUGGUACUUUUUGAUUUGCACAUCCUCAUAGCAGUCCUAUGAUAGAUAAUAAAACUUUAUUUUACGGAAGUUGAAAAGAUUGAGAAAUUCAAGUUCUCAUUACAUUCCCAAGUCAUGGUAUACUUUUGGGUUUUUUGUUUGCUUGUUUUUUGAGACAGUCUCACUCUGUCACCCAGGCUGCAGUGCAGUGGUGCAAUCAUAGCUCACUGCAACCUUGACCUCCCUGGCUCGAGGGAUCCUCCCGCUUCAGCCUCCCAAGUAACUGGGACUACAGGUGCUCGCGGCUAUGCCCGGCUAAUUCGAAAAAAAAAUUUGCAGAAAUGGGGGUCUCACUGUGUUGCCCAGGCUUGUCUCAAACUCCUGGACUCAAGUUUUCCUCCCACUUCAGCCUCCCAAAGUGCUGGGAUUACAGGUGAGAGCCAUUGCAAACAGCCUAACAGGGCAUACUUUUAAAUAAACUUCUGUCUGACUAGAAGUUAGUUUUACCUUCACUGUGCAGGGGACAUACGCUUAGGGGCUUAGCAUUUUUCUAUUUCGGGGGAUUUUCCUAUUUUCCUGUAUAUUUGUGUGAUGUAGUGCUUGCCUACUUGACUGGGGCAGGGAGGACACACAGAGAGGGACGGAUGCAUGUCAUGCAUGUUUCUCCAACACAUGCAUCUGCGACUGGACGAGGUGAGGGGUGAGACAGUGGCUUUCAAGGUCAAGGGUUUCACCAUUUGGCCAGGCUGGCCUCGAACUCCUGACCUCAAGUGAUCCACUUGCCUCGGUAUCCCACAGUGCUUGGAUUACAGACGUGAGCCACCACGCCUGGCAGCCUGUGCUAUUUCUGAGCUGGUUUUGAUUGGUUGAUUUUUCUCCUUAUUAUGGGUCAUGUUUUCCUACUUCUUUACCUGCUUGGUCAUUUUUGAUUGGAUGCCACACAUUGUACAUUUUACCUUGUGUAUUUCUGUAAAUUUUUUUUUUUAUUUUUUUUUUUUUUAUGACAUACAGGUAAUUUAUUUGGAAGCAGAUCGCUCCAUUUGGAUCUGAUGUUUGAGCUUUUGUAGGCAGGACCAGAUCAAUGUUUAGCUGGAGGCUAAUUUUACCCCACUUUGGAGACAUACCCUUUCUGAGGACUCCCUCUGAUUCCCCAUGAACUUUGAUUUUUUUUCCCCCCACUUUGGCUGCUGGUAAUAGGAACUGUUUCUGGCUCUGUAGGAGCACCACAUAUUUUUGUUGUUGUUGUUGUUGUUCUCCAAACUUUUCAGAUCAUAGUUUCUCUAAACCUGCCCUCUCAUGCAUAUGCUGAUUAGUGAAAGACUUAAUCCAUUCAUGCCUGAGGUUGCAAUUUUUUGAAUUUUUGCAAUCAGACCUUGGUGAUGACCUUGAAGAGUAGGAUAUAAAUAACUCCCAGAUGUUUAGCAUUCCAAUAAUGGAACACUAGGCAAAAAUAGGUUUUAAGGGGGACCCAGUGCAGAUCCCCAGGGCAUGUGUGCUCUCUCUCUUCCAAAGCUUUCUCCUGCACAGAACCUGCCCCACACAGGCUAACACCUUGGCCUUCUCAGGCUCUCAGCCCCAUCUCCUCAAUUCAGAGAGACCACUGGGCUCCUCCUGGGCUUCCUUCCCUGCAGCACAGCCUGCAAAUUCUCUCCAGGCCAUAACCUAAGGCAAUU